RNAcentral lists this ribosomal RNA (253 nucleotides) under uncultured bacterium. RNAcentral describes it as "partial 16S ribosomal RNA". It matches the Rfam family "Bacterial small subunit ribosomal RNA", at positions 524 to 776 of the family's 1533-position model. The record is from RNAcentral.
UACGAAGGGGGCUAGCGUUGUUCGGAAUUACUGGGCGUAAAGGGCGCGUAGGCGGUGUGUCAAGUCAGGCGUGAAAGCCCCGGGCUCAACCUGGGAACCGCGCUUGAGACUGGCACGCUCGAGUUCGGGAGAGGAUGGUGGAAUUCCCAGUGUAGAGGUGAAAUUCGUAGAUAUUGGGAAGAACACCGAUGGCGAAGGCAGCCAUCUGGACCGACACUGAUGCUGAGGCGCGAAAGCGUGGGGAGCAAACAGG